This 477-nucleotide ribosomal RNA is filed under the name Nerocila monodi. RNAcentral's name for it is "partial 16S ribosomal RNA". It matches the Rfam family "Bacterial large subunit ribosomal RNA", at positions 1809 to 2603 of the family's 2925-position model. Lineage: Eukaryota; Metazoa; Arthropoda; Malacostraca; Isopoda; Cymothoidae. The record is from RNAcentral.
AAAAACAUUUCCUUUUGUAUUUGAAAAGGUAAACCCUGCCCAAUGAUAUUUAAAUGGCCGCAGUGUUAAAAUUGUGCAAAGGUAGCAUAAUAAUUUUCUUUUUAAAUGGAAGGUCGGAUGAAAGGGAUUGACUAGAUAUUUACUGUGUCAGUAUAAAAAUAGAAUUUUAUGAGGAGGUUAGAAAUCCUUUUGAUAUUAAAGGGACGACAAGACCCUGGGAGCUUAUAAAUCAAAUUAAAGAUUGAAUUUGUUUAACUGGGGCGGUUAAUAAUUAAAACAUUGUAGUUAGAACAAUUGGAUGGAGUAAAUGAUCAUUAGUUAGACAUAGAGUUAAAGCUACCCCAGGGAUAACAGCGUAAUUAUUCUGGAGAUUUUUGUUGAAGGAGUAGUUUGCGACCUCGAUGUUGAAUUAAGGUAGUCCUCUUGAAGGAGAGAGCCUGGAGGGAGAGUUUGUUCAACUUUUAAAUACUUACGUGA